GAUCCUGGCUCAGGAUGAACGCUAGCGGCAGGCCUAACACAUGCAAGUCGAGGGGCAGCAUAAACAAGCUUGCUUGUUUGGUGGCGACCGGCGCACGGGUGCGUAACGCGUAUGCAACCUACCCUGUACUGGGGGAUAGCCCGGAGAAAUUCGGAUUAAGACCCCAUAGCACUUAAGAAUGGCAUCAUUCAUAAGUUAAAGGUUACGGUACAGGAUGGGCAUGCGUCCCAUUAGCUAGAUGGUAAGGUAACGGCUUACCAUGGCAACGAUGGGUAGGGGGCCUGAGAGGGUGGUCCCCCACACUGGUACUGAGACACGGACCAGACUCCUACGGGAGGCAGCAGUGAGGAAUAUUGGUCAAUGGGCGCAAGCCUGAACCAGCCAUGCCGCGUGCAGGAAGACGGUCCUAUGGAUUGUAAACUGCUUUUAUUUGGGAAUAAACCUAUUUACGUGUAGAUAGCUGAAGGUACCAAAUGAAUAAGCACCGGCUAACUCCGUG
RNAcentral lists this ribosomal RNA (499 nucleotides) under uncultured bacterium. RNAcentral describes it as "bacterial SSU rRNA". It matches the Rfam family "Bacterial small subunit ribosomal RNA", at positions 15 to 507 of the family's 1533-position model. The record is from RNAcentral.